UCUGGCAAUAAUGGCGAGAAUGUCACACCCGUUCCCAUACCGAACACGGAAGUUAAGCUUCUCAGCGCCGAUGGUAGUUGGGNNUUUCUGUCUUUUUCUUUCCCCUUUUUGAGAAUUGGAAAAAACUUUCUGUUGUAAGUA
Molecule: ribosomal RNA, 141 nt
Filed under: Bacillus sp. AFS076308
Lineage: Bacteria; Bacillati; Bacillota; Bacilli; Caryophanales; Bacillaceae
Source: RNAcentral